UCGAACGGAUCCUUCGGGAUUAGUGGCGGACGGGUGAGUAACACGUGGGAACGUGCCUUUAGGUUCGGAACAACACAGGGAAACUUGUGCUAAUACCGGAUGUGCCCUUCGGGGGAAAGAUUUAUCGCCUUUAGAGCGGCCCGCGUCUGAUUAGCUUGUUGGUGAGGUAAAGGCUCACCAAGGCUACGAUCAGUAGCUGGUCUGAGAGGAUGGCCAGCCACAUUGGGACUGAGACACGGCCCAAACUCCUACGGGAGGCAGCAGUGGGGAAUCUUGCGCAAUGGGCGAAAGCCUGACGCAGCCAUGCCGCGUGGAUGAUGAAGGUCUUAGGAUUGUAAAAUCCUUUC
Molecule: ribosomal RNA, 347 nt
Filed under: uncultured soil bacterium
Lineage: Bacteria
Description: bacterial SSU rRNA
Rfam family: Bacterial small subunit ribosomal RNA
Source: RNAcentral